UGCUGUAGAUAUGGCAGAAAGUUCACAGA
RNAcentral lists this non-coding RNA (29 nucleotides) under Rattus norvegicus (Norway rat). The record is from RNAcentral. Lineage: Eukaryota; Metazoa; Chordata; Mammalia; Rodentia; Muridae.